UAAAAAAAGGUAAGCUACUAAGAGCGAAUGGUGGAUGCCUUGACUGGUAAAGGCGAUGAAGGACGUACUAGACUGCGAUAAGCUACGGGGAGCUGUCAAGAAGCUUUGAUCCGUAGAUUUCCGAAUGGGGCAACCCAAUGUAUAGAGAUAUACAUUACCUAUAUAGGAGCGAACGAGGGGAAUUGAAACAUCUUAGUACCCUCAGGAAAAGAAAUCAAUAGAGAUUGCGUCAGUAGCGGCGAGCGAAAGCGCAAGAGGGCAAACCCAGUGCUUGCACUGGGGGUUGUAGGACUGCAAUGUGCAAGAGCUGAGUUUAGCAGAACAUUCUGGAAAGUAUAGCCAUAGAGGGUGAUAGUCCCGUAUGCGAAAAACAAAGCUUAGCUAGCAGUAUCCUGAGUAGGGCGGGACACGAGGAAUCCUGUCUGAAUCCGGGUCGACCACGAUCCAACCCUAAAUACUAAUACCAGAUCGAUAGUGCACAAGUACCGUGAGGGAAAGGUGAAAAGAACUGAGGUGAUCAGAGUGAAAUAGAACCUGAAACCAUUUGCUUACAAUCAUUCAGAGCACUAUGUAGCAAUACAGUGUGAUGGACUGCCUUUUGCAUAAUGAGCCUGCGAGUUGUGGUGUCUGGCAAGGUUAAGCAAACGCGAAGCCRUAGCGAAAGCGAGUCUGAAUAGGGCGCUUAGUCAGAUGCUGCAGACCCGAAACGAAGUGAUCUAUCCAUGAGCAAGUUGAAGCUAGUGUAAGAACUAGUGGAGGACUGAACCCAUAGGCGUUGAAAAGCCCCGGGAUGACUUGUGGAUAGGGGUGAAAGGCCAAUCAAACUUCGUGAUAGCUGGUUCUCUCCGAAAUAUAUUUAGGUAUAGCGUUGUGUCGUAAUAUAAGGGGGUAGAGCACUGAAUGGGCUAGGGCAUACACCAAUGUACCAAACCCUAUCAAACUCCGAAUACCUUA
Molecule: ribosomal RNA, 954 nt
Filed under: Campylobacter jejuni
Lineage: Bacteria; Pseudomonadati; Campylobacterota; Epsilonproteobacteria; Campylobacterales; Campylobacteraceae
Description: partial 23S ribosomal RNA
Rfam family: Bacterial large subunit ribosomal RNA
Source: RNAcentral